UACGGAGGGGGCGAGCGUUGUCCGGAAUUAUUGGGCGUAAAGGGCGCGUAGGCGGUUUGCUAAGUCAGGGGUGAAAACCUAAGGCUCAACCUUAGGCGUGCGCCUGAGACUGGCGAACUUGAGGGCAGGAGAGGAGAGCGGAAUUCCCGGUGUAGCGGUGAAAUGCGUAGAUAUCAGGAGGAACACCAAUGGCGAAGGCGGCUCUCUGGACUGUACCUGACGCUGAGGCGCGAAAGCGUGGGGAGCGAACAGG
Molecule: ribosomal RNA, 253 nt
Filed under: uncultured bacterium
Lineage: Bacteria
Description: partial 16S ribosomal RNA
Rfam family: Bacterial small subunit ribosomal RNA
Source: RNAcentral